RNAcentral lists this ribosomal RNA (424 nucleotides) under uncultured bacterium. Its description in RNAcentral is "partial 16S ribosomal RNA". It matches the Rfam family "Bacterial small subunit ribosomal RNA", at positions 360 to 776 of the family's 1533-position model. The record is from RNAcentral.
AAUUUUGGACAAUGGGGGAAACCCUGAUCCCGCAAUGCCCCGUGCAGGAUGAAGGCCUUCGGGUUGUAAACUGCUUUUGUACGGAACGAAAAGUCUUGGGCUAAUAUCCGGGGAUCAUGACGGUACCGUACGAAUCAGCACCGGCUAACUUCGUUCCAGCCGCCGCGGUACUACGUAGGGUGGAAGCGUUAAUCGGAAUUACUGGGCGUAAAGCGUGCGCAGGCGGUUUGGUAAGACAGUGGUGAAAUCCCCGGGGGCAACCUGGGAACUGCCAUUGUGACAGCAAGGCUGGAGUGCGGGAAAGGGGGAUGGAAUUCCGCGUGUAGCAGGGAAAUGCGUAGAUAUACGGAAGAACACCGAUGGCGAAGGCAAUCCCCUGGGCCUGCACUGACGCUCAUGCACGAAAGCGUGGGGAGCAAACAGG